This 520-nucleotide ribosomal RNA is filed under the name uncultured Glomus. Its description in RNAcentral is "SSU rRNA". It matches the Rfam family "Eukaryotic small subunit ribosomal RNA", at positions 569 to 1090 of the family's 1831-position model. Lineage: Eukaryota; Fungi; Glomeromycota; Glomeromycetes; Glomerales; Glomeraceae. The record is from RNAcentral.
AGCAGCCGCGGUAAUUCCAGCUCCAAUAGCGUAUAUUAAAGUUGUUGCAGUUAAAAAGCUCGUAGUUGAAUUUCGGGAUCAGUGGGUCGGUCGUGCCACUGGUAUGCACUGGCCCUACUGGUUCCUCCUUCUUGAAGAACUGUAAUGCCAUUAAUUUGGUGUUGCAGGGAAACAGGACUGUUACUUUGAAAAAAUUAGAGUGUUUAAAGCAGGCAAUCGCUUGAAUACAUUAGCAUGGAAUAAUGAAAUAGGACGAUCGAUCCUAUUUUGUUGGUUUCUAGGAUUGACGUAAUGAUUAAUAGGGAUAGUUGGGGGCAUUAGUAUUCAAUUGUCAGAGGUGAAAUUCUUGGAUUUAUUGAAGACUAACUACUGCGAAAGCAUUUGCCAAGGAUGUUUUCAUUAAUCAAGAACGAAAGUUAGGGGAUCGAAGACGAUCAGAUACCGUCGUAGUCUUAACCAUAAACUAUGCCGACUAGGGAUCGGAUGAUGUUAAUUUUUUAAUGACUCAUUCGGCGCCUUA